GUUUUAAUGAAAUACACUUCGAAUAAUAAAAACUAAGUAAACGUGUCUCCCAUACUUUAACCUUUUUGAAUUUGGUUCCUUUUCGCACACUAAAAUAUG
Aricia agestis (brown argus) is the source of this 99-nucleotide long non-coding RNA. RefSeq lists it as uncharacterized. The transcript has 3 exons. The record is from RefSeq and is a predicted model, not a curated record. Lineage: Eukaryota; Metazoa; Arthropoda; Insecta; Lepidoptera; Lycaenidae.